CCCUUAGAUGUUCUGGGCCGCACGAGUGCUACACUGAGUGGAUCAGCGGGUCAGGUUGCGCGAAAGUGUUUCCUAAUCUUUAAAUCCGCUCGUGAUGGGGAUUGACGGUUGCAAUUUUCCGUCAUGAACGAGGAAUACCUUGUAAGCGCGGGUCAUCAUCCCGCGCUGAAUACGUCCCUGCCCUUUGUACACACCGCCCGUCGCUCCUACCGAUUGAGUGGUCCGGUGAGGCUUUGGGAUCUGAGCGGAAAGAGCGUUUCGCUGUUUCUGCCCGGAAAACUCAGUCGAACCUUAUCAUUUAGAGGAAGGAGAAGUCGUAACA
RNAcentral lists this ribosomal RNA (322 nucleotides) under uncultured eukaryote. RNAcentral's name for it is "partial 18S ribosomal RNA". It matches the Rfam family "Eukaryotic small subunit ribosomal RNA", at positions 1470 to 1796 of the family's 1831-position model. The record is from RNAcentral.